Molecule: ribosomal RNA, 459 nt
Filed under: uncultured bacterium
Lineage: Bacteria
Description: partial 16S ribosomal RNA
Rfam family: Bacterial small subunit ribosomal RNA
Source: RNAcentral
CCUACGGGAGGCUGCAGUGAGGAAUAUUGGUCAAUGGGCGGGAGCCUGAACCAGCCAAGUCGCGUGAAGGAAGAAGGUACUUAGUAUUGUAAACUUCUUUUGUCGGGGAACAAAGGCGGAGACGCGUCUCCGGAUGAGUGUACCCGAAGUAAAAGCAUCGGCUAACUCCGUGCCAGCAGCCGCGGUACUACGGAGGAUGCGAGCGUUAUCCGGAUUUAUUGGGUUUAAAGGGUGCGCAGGCGGGAGAUCAAGUCAGCGGUAAAAUGGCGGGGCUCAACCCCGGCCGGCCGUUGAUACUGGUUUACUAGAGUUAGAGAGAGGUAAGCGGAAUUCGUGGUGUAGCGGUGAAAUGCAUAGAUAUCACGAAGAACACCGAUUGCGAAGGCAGCAUACCGGCGCGCAACUGACGCUCAGGCACGAAAGCGUGGGUAGCGAACAGGAUUAGAUACCCCAGUAGUC